UACGAAGGGGGGCUAGCGUUGCUCGGAAUUACUGGGCGUAAAGCGCACGUAGGCGGCUUUCUAAGUCGGGGGUGAAAUCCUGGAGCUCAACUCCAGAACUGCCUUCGAUACUGGAGAGCUUGAGUCCGGGAGAGGUGAGUGGAACUGCGAGUGUAGAGGUGAAAUUCGUAGAUAUUCGCAAGAACACCAGUGGCGAAGGCGGCUCACUGGCCCGGUACUGACGCUGAGGUGCGAAAGCGUGGGGAGCAAACAGGG
This 255-nucleotide ribosomal RNA is filed under the name uncultured bacterium. RNAcentral's name for it is "partial 16S ribosomal RNA". It matches the Rfam family "Bacterial small subunit ribosomal RNA", at positions 524 to 777 of the family's 1533-position model. The record is from RNAcentral.